RNAcentral lists this non-coding RNA (148 nucleotides) under Nomascus leucogenys (northern white-cheeked gibbon). Lineage: Eukaryota; Metazoa; Chordata; Mammalia; Primates; Hylobatidae. The record is from Rfam by way of RNAcentral.
GCCAGGCAUGGUGGUGCAUGCCUGUAAUCCUAGCUACUCAGGAGGCUGAGGCAGGAGAAUCGCUUGAACCUGGGAGGUGGAGGUUGCAGUGAGCCGAGAUUGCACCACUGCACUCCAGCCCGGGCAACAGAGCAAGACUCUGUCUCAA